RNAcentral lists this ribosomal RNA (484 nucleotides) under uncultured bacterium. Its description in RNAcentral is "partial 16S ribosomal RNA". It matches the Rfam family "Bacterial small subunit ribosomal RNA", at positions 30 to 507 of the family's 1533-position model. The record is from RNAcentral.
AUUGAACGCUGGCGGCAGGCCUAACACAUGCAAGUCGAGCGGAUGAAGUGAGCUUUCUCCUGGUUUCAGCUGCGGACUGUUGUGUAAUGCCUAGGAAUCUGCCUGUUUUUGUGUUAUAACGUCCUUAAACGGGCUCUAAUCCCGCAUACGUCCUUUUUUUGAUAUUUUUUGUUCUUCUGACCUCUCGCUUUCAUAUGUUCCUAGGUCGGAUUAGCUAUUUGGUUGGGUAAAGGCCUACCAAGGCGACGAUCCGUAACUGGUCUGAGAGGAUGAUCAGUCACACUGGAACUGAGACACGGACCAGACGCCUACGGGAGGCAGCAGUGGGGAAUAUUGGACAAUGGGCGAAAGCAUGAUACAGCAAUGCCGAGUGUGUGAAGAAGGUAUUAGGAUUGUAAAGCAAUUUAAGUUGGGAGGAAGGGAAGUAAGUUAAUACCUUGCUGUAUUGACGUUAACAAAAGAAUAAGCACCGGCUAACUACGUG